This 72-nucleotide transfer RNA is filed under the name Gemmatimonadota bacterium. RNAcentral describes it as "Gemmatimonadetes bacterium tRNA-Thr". It matches the Rfam family "tRNA". Rfam says of the family: Transfer RNA (tRNA) molecules are approximately 80 nucleotides in length. Their secondary structure includes four short double-helical elements and three loops (D, anti-codon, and T loops). Further hydrogen bonds mediate the characteristic L-shaped molecular structure. tRNAs have two regions of fundamental functional importance: the anti-codon, which is responsible for specific mRNA codon recognition, and the 3' end, to which the tRNAs corresponding amino acid is attached (by aminoacyl-tRNA synthetases). tRNAs cope with the degeneracy of the genetic code in two manners: having more than one tRNA (with a specific anti-codon) for a particular amino acid; and 'wobble' base-pairing, i.e. permitting non-standard base-pairing at the 3rd anti-codon position. RNAcentral also lists the same sequence under 1 other name. Lineage: Bacteria; Pseudomonadati; Gemmatimonadota. The record is from RNAcentral.
GCCGACGUAGCUCAGUGGUAGAGCACGGCUUUCGUAAAGCUGAGGUCGAGGGUUCGAAUCCCCCCGUCGGCU